CAGCGUCACGAGUGGCAACCAUAUUUAUUGGGCCUAAAGCGUCCGUAGCCUGUUUGAUAAGUCUUUUGUGAAAUCGUUGAGCUCAACUUAACGUCGUGCAAGAGAUACUGUCAGACUUGGAAUUGGGAAGAGUUAGAGGUAUUCUGGGGGGAGCGGUAAAAUGCUAUAAUCCCUGGAGGACCACCAGUGGCGAAAGCGUCUGACUAGAACAACUUCGACGGUGAGGGACGAAAGCCAGGGGAGCAAAACGGAUUAGAUACCCGAGUAGUCC
RNAcentral lists this ribosomal RNA (271 nucleotides) under uncultured archaeon. RNAcentral's name for it is "partial 16S ribosomal RNA". It matches the Rfam family "Archaeal small subunit ribosomal RNA", at positions 477 to 747 of the family's 1478-position model. The record is from RNAcentral.